This 507-nucleotide ribosomal RNA is filed under the name uncultured bacterium. RNAcentral describes it as "partial 16S ribosomal RNA". It matches the Rfam family "Bacterial small subunit ribosomal RNA", at positions 28 to 507 of the family's 1533-position model. The record is from RNAcentral.
GACGAACGCUGGCGGCGUGCUUAACACAUGCAAGUCGAACGGGCCUUGUCCCCUUUUUUUUUGGGGGUGGGGUUAGUGGCGAACGGGUGAGUAACACGUGAGUAACCUGCCCCUCACUUCUGGAUAACCGCUUGAAAGGGUGGGUAAUACGGGGUGUUCUGGCCUGCUCGCAUGGGUGGGUUUGGAAAGAUUCGACCGGUUUGGUUGUUUUGGUGGGGGAUGGGCUCGCGGCCUAUCAGCUUGUUGGUGGGGUGAUGGCCUGCCAAGGCUUUGACGGGUAGCCGGCCUGAGAGGGUGGGCGGUCACACUGGGACUGAGACACGGCCCAGACUCCUACGGGAGGCAGCAGUGGGGAAUAUUGCACAAUGGGCGCAAGCCUGAUGCAGCGACGCCGCGUGAGGGAUGGAGGCCUUCGGGUUGUGAACCUCUUUCGCCAGUGAAGAAGGUCCUGCUCUUUGUGGUGGGGUUGACGGUAGCUGGGUUAAUGAAGCGCCGGCUAACUACGUG